Molecule: non-coding RNA, 111 nt
Organism: Acanthosepion pharaonis
Lineage: Eukaryota; Metazoa; Mollusca; Cephalopoda; Sepiida; Sepiidae
Source: the annotation of a GenBank genome assembly
UGUCCAUAUUACAUUGAAACACCAGUUUUUGUUUGAUCACUGAAGUUAAGUGACGUCAAGCCUGGUGAGUACCUAGAUGGGUGACUGCUUGGGAAUGCCAGGUGCUGUAAG